This 363-nucleotide unclassified non-coding RNA is filed under the name soil metagenome. Its description in RNAcentral is "partial contains 5.8S ribosomal RNA, internal transcribed spacer 2, and large subunit ribosomal RNA". The stretch from base 1 to 120 matches the Rfam family "5.8S ribosomal RNA", at positions 35 to 154 of the family's 154-position model. The record is from RNAcentral.
GAUGAAGAACGCAGCGAAAUGCGAUAAGUAAUGUGAAUUGCAGAAUUCAGUGAAUCAUCGAGUCUUUGAACGCACAUUGCGCCCCCUGGUAUUCCGGGGGGCAUGCCUGUUCGAGCGUCAUUUGAAAACCCUCAAGCUCAGCUUGGUGUUGGGGUGCUGGCCUUCCCCGUCUUUCGAGACCUUUCGGGACGGCCUCCCCGAAAAUCAGCGGCGGAACCACCGGAGAUCCCAGCGCAGUGACAUUGCACCGCUGUUUUGGAACUCCGGGUUGGCCCCCGCCGGGCAACAAAUCCGAUUCUCGACGAUUGACCUCGAAUCAGGUAGGGAUACCCGCUGAACUUAAGCAUAUCAAUAAGCGGAGGA